ACUCCUACGGGAGGCAGCAGUGGGGAAUUUUGGACAAUGGGCGAAAGCCUGAUCCAGCAAUGCCGCGUGAGUGAAGAAGGCCUUCGGGUUGUAAAGCUCUUUUGUCAGGGAAGAAACGGUGAAAGCUAAUAUCUUUUGCUAAUGACGGUACCUGAAGAAUAAGCACCGGCUAACUACGUGCCAGCAGCCGCGGUAAUACGUAGGGUGCAAGCGUUAAUCGGAAUUACUGGGCGUAAAGCGUGCGCAGGCGGUUUUGUAAGUCUGAUGUGAAAUCCCCGGGCUCAACCUGGGAAUUGCAUUGGAGACUGCAAGGCUAGAAUCUGGCAGAGGGGGGUAGAAUUCCACGUGUAGCAGUGAAAUGCGUAGAUAUGUGGAGGAACACCGAUGGCGAAGGCAGCCCCCUGGGUCAAGAUUGACGCUCAUGCACGAAAGCGUGGGGAGCAAACAGGAUUAGAAACCCCAGUAGUCCCAUG
This 473-nucleotide ribosomal RNA is filed under the name uncultured organism. Its description in RNAcentral is "partial 16S ribosomal RNA". It matches the Rfam family "Bacterial small subunit ribosomal RNA", at positions 335 to 799 of the family's 1533-position model. The record is from RNAcentral.